CGGGAAGCUCCGCCUCGGUCGGGGCGCGGGGUGAGGGCGGGCGCGUGGGGCCCACGGGCGCCCGUGGGCGAGACGAGGGGUCGGACGGGGUAGCCAGUCGCCGCUGUCGCGCUCCAGCGGGACUAUUUCCCGUGUUGUUUCACACGCACACCUCCGCCGCCUUUUUGGGUACGAUAUGGUUGUCGGAGCAACGCCGGCCCGGGAGGGACGGGACUACUUUCAGUCACAGGGCGGUGGCGGCUGCACAAAGGCGGCCGUUCUCCUCCGCCAGCAGAAGAUGCUGCCUAGUGUCCAGGAUGAGAACUGCAUUUCUUUGUGGCUGAAAAAAUCCUCACAACAAAAACUUCACAGAGAAGGUCCUUGAGAUCAGCCGAGCAUAGGGACUAUAAGCUCCCAAACACAAUUGCCAAGAACUACUGCACUAGAUGCAGCUACAGAACUAGAACAGAUACACUUGCUGGCAAGAAAGAACAAGGGCACUACAGAAGACAACCUUUAUAAAGAAAUGAAGAAAACAAAGUGGUCCUGAUGAUAUCUCAAAUCCAAUAAACUGCAUUAGAAAUCAAAUCACAAAUUGUCAAUCUUAAAAAAACAAAUAAACACCUCCUGAACAUACUUGGAUUGUA
Numida meleagris (helmeted guineafowl) is the source of this 626-nucleotide long non-coding RNA. RefSeq lists it as uncharacterized. The transcript has 3 exons. NCBI's taxonomy places the organism in Eukaryota, Metazoa, Chordata, Aves, Galliformes, Numididae. The record is from RefSeq and is a predicted model, not a curated record.